UCGACCUGAAGGCUCAGGCACGAACAAGGGAAAAGAAAAGCUGUUCGAAUGAGAUUUAGUAUGAGUUAAUGGUUAUAGUUAGUAAGACAAUGGAAUCUAUUGUCAGGUAUUGUAAGGAAUGUAUUUGAAGGUCACGUACCUGGGGAAGUAAACUUUGAGGUAUGUAAAUUAAGUUCGAAUGUAUUAUUAUUUAGUAUUAUUCAGCUUAAAGAAAUGGUAUCGUGGGGAACCGAGUUCGGGUUUCAAGUAUCCGGAUUUGGGGUCGCCACAGAUGCUAUCACUUGUGUUCCCUACUCUGGGGACCAUUUAACCGUUGGGUUUGAGGAUGGGUACCUGACUGGUGUCGAGUACGUGAUAUCCACCCGUAGGAUUCCUCUCUUCACAGAUGGAGGAUGGGAGCUCUAUUUGGGAGAGCGUGAUAUUAGAGCACCACAUGGGAGAUUCGUAUACCGAUCUUGCCUCUUGCUAGGCGUUAUUGGCAUGUGUCUCAGUUGCCUGUGAUUAAUAUCCCAUUGAUGAGCGUUGACAACUUUACGUUGUCAGAGGGUCUGUAUACUCAGGAUAUGUUCCAUCACUGGUGGUCCCCUCGUACCAUUGGAGCCCAGACCCGCACCACUCAGUUCAUGGGGAAUUGGUUCCUGGAUCCGUGAUGAUGACGAAUUGGAUGGCCUGUGUCCGAGAUCUGACUCAAUUGACACAAAUUGACAUUUUGACCCGGUAGUUGGACUGUGCACAUUUCUUCAUCCGACACUUGGGCAGAGAUCUUUCUGAGGCAGAUACUUUUAAUCCUUCCAGCUCUGGGGCUAGCCCUUUAGGUGACCCAUAUUGUUUUGCAGGCGCAUAUCCUCCAUUGUAUAG
Molecule: long non-coding RNA, 858 nt
Filed under: Panax ginseng (ginseng)
Lineage: Eukaryota; Viridiplantae; Streptophyta; Magnoliopsida; Apiales; Araliaceae
Description: long non-coding RNA (PGIN_LNC000184)
Source: RNAcentral